GAUGAACGCUGGCGGCGUGCCUAAUACAUGCAAGUCGAGCGAACGGACGAGAAGCUUGCUUCUCUGAUGUUAGCGGCGGACGGGUGAGUAACACGUGGAUAACCUACCUAUAAGACUGGGAUAACUUCGGGAAACCGGAGCUAAUACCGGAUGAUAUUUUGAACCGCAUGGUUCAAAAGUGAAAGACGGUCUUGCUGUCACUUAUAGAUGGAUCCGCGCUGCAUUAGCUAGUUGGUAAGGUAACGGCUUACCAAGGCAACGAUGCAUAGCCGACCUGAGAGGGUGAUCGGCCACACUGGAACUGAGACACGGUCCAGACUCCUACGGGAGGCAGCAGUAGGGAAUCUUCCGCAAUGGGCGAAAGCCUGACGGAGCAACGCCGCGUGAGUGAUGAAGGUCUUCGGAUCGUAAAACUCUGUUAUUAGGGAAGAACAUAUGUGUAAGUAACUGUGCACAUCUUGACGGUACCUAAUCAGAAAGCCACGGCUAACUACGUGCCAGCAGCCGCGGUAAUACGUAGGUGGCAAGCGUUAUCCGGAAUUAUUGGGCGUAAAGCGCGCGUAGGCGGUUUUUUAAGUCUGAUGUGAAAGCCCACGGCUCAACCGUGGAGGGUCAUUAGAAACUGGAAAACUUGAGUGCAGAAGAGGAAAGUGGAAUUCCAUGUGUAGCGGUGAAAUGCGCAGAGAUAUGGAGGAACACCAGUGGCGAAGGCGACUUUCUGGUCUGUAACUGACGCUGAUGUGCGAAAGCGUGGGGAUCAAACAGGAUUAGAUACCCUGGUAGUCCACGCCGUAAACGAUGAGUGCUAAGUGUUAGGGGGUUUCCGCCCCUUAGUGCUGCAGCUAACGCAUUAAGCACUCCGCCUGGGGAGUACGACCGCAAGGUUGAAACUCAAAGGAAUUGACGGGGACCCGCACAAGCGGUGGAGCAUGUGGUUUAAUUCGAAGCAACGCGAAGAACCUUACCAAAUCUUGACAUCCUUUGACAACUCUAGAGAUAGAGCCUUCCCCUUCGGGGGACAAAGUGACAGGUGGUGCAUGGUUGUCGUCAGCUCGUGUCGUGAGAUGUUGGGUUAAGUCCCGCAACGAGCGCAACCCUUAAGCUUAGUUGCCAUCAUUAAGUUGGGCACUCUAAGUUGACUGCCGGUGACAAACCGGAGGAAGGUGGGGAUGACGUCAAAUCAUCAUGCCCCUUAUGAUUUGGGCUACACACGUGCUACAAUGGACAAUACAAAGGGCAGCGAAACCGCGAGGUCAAGCAAAUCCCAUAAAGUUGUUCUCAGUUCGGAUUGUAGUCUGCAACUCGACUACAUGAAGCUGGAAUCGCUAGUAAUCGUAGAUCAGCAUGCUACGGUGAAUACGUUCCCGGGUCU
This 1372-nucleotide ribosomal RNA is filed under the name uncultured bacterium. RNAcentral's name for it is "bacterial SSU rRNA". It matches the Rfam family "Bacterial small subunit ribosomal RNA", at positions 28 to 1381 of the family's 1533-position model. The record is from RNAcentral.